RNAcentral lists this ribosomal RNA (497 nucleotides) under uncultured bacterium. Its description in RNAcentral is "partial 16S ribosomal RNA". It matches the Rfam family "Bacterial small subunit ribosomal RNA", at positions 28 to 507 of the family's 1533-position model. The record is from RNAcentral.
GAUGAACGCUGGCGGCGUGCCUAAUACAUGCAAGUCGAGCGAACGGACGAGAAGCUUGCUUCUCUGAUGUUAGCGGCGGACGGGUGAGUAACACGUGGAUAACCUACCUAUAAGACUGGGAUAACUUCGGGAAACCGGAGCUAAUACCGGAUAAUAUUUUGUACCGCAUGGUUCAAAAGUAAAAGACGGUCUUGCUGUCACUUAUAGAUGGAUCCGCGCUGCAUUAGCUAGUUGGUAAGGUAACGGCUUACCAAGGCAACGAUGCAUAGCCGACCUGAGAGGGUGAUCGGCCACACUGGAACUGAGACACGGUCCAGACUCCUACGGGAGGCAGCAGUAGGGAAUCUUCCGCAAUGGGCGAAGGCCUGACGGAGCAACGCCGCGUGAGUGAUGAAGGUCUUCGGAUCGUAAAACUCUGUUAUUAGGGAAGAACAUAUGUGUAAGUAACUGUGCACAUCUUGACGGUACCUAAUCAGAAAGCCACGGCUAACUACGUG